AGUUUUGUAUCAUAUUCUUUGUCUCUGA
This 28-nucleotide small RNA is filed under the name Arabidopsis thaliana (thale cress). RNAcentral describes it as "ATSL272050". Lineage: Eukaryota; Viridiplantae; Streptophyta; Magnoliopsida; Brassicales; Brassicaceae. The record is from RNAcentral.